Molecule: ribosomal RNA, 497 nt
Filed under: uncultured bacterium
Lineage: Bacteria
Description: partial 16S ribosomal RNA
Rfam family: Bacterial small subunit ribosomal RNA
Source: RNAcentral
GAUGAACGCUGGCGGCGUGCCUAAUACAUGCAAGUCGAGCGAACAGACGAGGAGCUUGCUCCUCUGACGUUAGCGGCGGACGGGUGAGUAACACGUGGAUAACCUACCUAUAAGGCUGGGAUAACUUCGGGAAACCGGAGCUAAUACCGGAUAAUAUAUUGAACCGCAUGGUUCAAUAGUGAAAGACGGUUUUGCUGUCACUUAUAGAUGGAUCCGCGCCGCAUUAGCUAGUUGGUAAGGUAACGGCUUACCAAGGCAACGAUGCGUAGCCGACCUGAGAGGGUGAUCGGCCACACUGGAACUGAGACACGGUCCAGACUCCUACGGGAGGCAGCAGUAGGGAAUCUUCCGCAAUGGGCGAAAGCCUGACGGAGCAACGCCGCGUGAGUGAUGAAGGUCUUCGGAUCGUAAAACUCUGUUAUUAGGGAAGAACAAAUGUGUAAGUAACUAUGCACGUCUUGACGGUACCUAUUCAGAAAGCCACGGCUAUCUACGUG